GCGGGCGUAGCUCAGUUGGUAGAGCACAACCUUGCCAAGGUUGGGGUCGCGAGUUCGAGUCUCGUCGCCCGCU
RNAcentral lists this transfer RNA (73 nucleotides) under Oceanithermus profundus. RNAcentral describes it as "tRNA-Gly". It matches the Rfam family "tRNA". Rfam says of the family: Transfer RNA (tRNA) molecules are approximately 80 nucleotides in length. Their secondary structure includes four short double-helical elements and three loops (D, anti-codon, and T loops). Further hydrogen bonds mediate the characteristic L-shaped molecular structure. tRNAs have two regions of fundamental functional importance: the anti-codon, which is responsible for specific mRNA codon recognition, and the 3' end, to which the tRNAs corresponding amino acid is attached (by aminoacyl-tRNA synthetases). tRNAs cope with the degeneracy of the genetic code in two manners: having more than one tRNA (with a specific anti-codon) for a particular amino acid; and 'wobble' base-pairing, i.e. permitting non-standard base-pairing at the 3rd anti-codon position. The record is from RNAcentral. Lineage: Bacteria; Thermotogati; Deinococcota; Deinococci; Thermales; Thermaceae.